This 1352-nucleotide ribosomal RNA is filed under the name Staphylococcus aureus. Its description in RNAcentral is "partial 23S ribosomal RNA". It matches the Rfam family "Bacterial large subunit ribosomal RNA", at positions 1551 to 2904 of the family's 2925-position model. The record is from RNAcentral. Lineage: Bacteria; Bacillati; Bacillota; Bacilli; Caryophanales; Staphylococcaceae.
UAAGGCUGAGCUGUGAUGGGGAGAAGACAUUGUGUCUUCGAGUCGUUGAUUUCACACUGCCGAGAAAAGCCUCUAGAUAGAAAAUAGGUGCCCGUACCGCAAACCGACACAGGUAGUCAAGAUGAGAAUUCUAAGGUGAGCGAGCGAACUCUCGUUAAGGAACUCGGCAAAAUGACCCCGUAACUUCGGGAGAAGGGGUGCUCUUUAGGGUUAACGCCCAGAAGAGCCGCAGUGAAUAGGCCCAAGCGACUGUUUAUCAAAAACACAGGUCUCUGCUAAACCGUAAGGUGAUGUAUAGGGGCUGACGCCUGCCCGGUGCUGGAAGGUUAAGAGGAGUGGUUAGCUUCUGCGAAGCUACGAAUCGAAGCCCCAGUAAACGGCGGCCGUAACUAUAACGGUCCUAAGGUAGCGAAAUUCCUUGUCGGGUAAGUUCCGACCCGCACGAAAGGCGUAACGAUUUGGGCACUGUCUCAACGAGAGACUCGGUGAAAUCAUAGUACCUGUGAAGAUGCAGGUUACCCGCGACAGGACGGAAAGACCCCGUGGAGCUUUACUGUAGCCUGAUAUUGAAAUUCGGCACAGCUUGUACAGGAUAGGUAGGAGCCUUUGAAACGUGAGCGCUAGCUUACGUGGAGGCGCUGGUGGGAUACUACCCUAGCUGUGUUGGCUUUCUAACCCGCACCACUUAUCGUGGUGGGAGACAGUGUCAGGCGGGCAGUUUGACUGGGGCGGUCGCCUCCUAAAAGGUAACGGAGGCGCUCAAAGGUUCCCUCAGAAUGGUUGGAAAUCAUUCAUAGAGUGUAAAGGCAUAAGGGAGCUUGACUGCGAGACCUACAAGUCGAGCAGGGUCGAAAGACGGACUUAGUGAUCCGGUGGUUCCGCAUGGAAGGGCCAUCGCUCAACGGAUAAAAGCUACCCCGGGGAUAACAGGCUUAUCUCCCCCAAGAGUUCACAUCGACGGGGAGGUUUGGCACCUCGAUGUCGGCUCAUCGCAUCCUGGGGCUGUAGUCGGUCCCAAGGGUUGGGCUGUUCGCCCAUUAAAGCGGUACGCGAGCUGGGUUCAGAACGUCGUGAGACAGUUCGGUCCCUAUCCGUCGUGGGCGUAGGAAAUUUGAGAGGAGCUGUCCUUAGUACGAGAGGACCGGGAUGGACAUACCUCUGGUGUACCAGUUGUCGUGCCAACGGCAUAGCUGGGUAGCUAUGUGUGGACGGGAUAAGUGCUGAAAGCAUCUAAGCAUGAAGCCCCCCUCAAGAUGAGAUUUCCCAACUUCGGUUAUAAGAUCCCUCAAAGAUGAUGAGGUUAAUAGGUUCGAGGUGGAAGCAUGGUGACAUGUGGAGCUGACGAAUACUAA